RNAcentral lists this long non-coding RNA (201 nucleotides) under Carica papaya (papaya). RNAcentral describes it as "long non-coding RNA (CPAP_LNC008890)". Lineage: Eukaryota; Viridiplantae; Streptophyta; Magnoliopsida; Brassicales; Caricaceae. The record is from RNAcentral.
GAAAAAAGUUAUCUUCUACUAUAAUUCUUCGGACCAAAAAUUACAUACAUACUACACAAAAAGGUUCAUCAAAUUUGUAACGACCCUGGAAUGUCCAAAAAAAUAAAUUAUAACUUAAGUGCGGAAGCAAAAUAAAUGGUUAAGGUUUACAUUCCUUACAUAAUAACUUAAAGUACCAAAUAGUGCUGCGGGAAUUACCAU